Molecule: ribosomal RNA, 920 nt
Filed under: Brevibacterium sp. SNRB30-1
Lineage: Bacteria; Bacillati; Actinomycetota; Actinomycetes; Micrococcales; Brevibacteriaceae
Description: bacterial SSU rRNA
Rfam family: Bacterial small subunit ribosomal RNA
Source: RNAcentral
GGAUGAGUGGCGAACGGGUGAGUAACACGUGAGUAACCUGCCCCUGACUUCGGGAUAAGCCCGGGAAACUGGGUCUAAUACCGGAUACGACUGCCGGACGCAUGUCUGGUGGUGGAAAGUUUUUUCGGUUGGGGAUGGGCUCGCGGCCUAUCAGUUUGUUGGUGAGGUAAUGGCUCACCAAGACGACGACGGGUAGCCGGCCUGAGAGGGCGACCGGCCACACUGGGACUGAGACACGGCCCAGACUCCUACGGGAGGCAGCAGUGGGGAAAUAUUGCACAAUGGGGGAAACCCUGAUGCAGCGACCGCAGCGUGCGGGAUGACGGCCUUCGGGUUGUAAACCGCUUUCAGCAGGGAAGAAGCGCAAGUGACGGUACCUGCAGAAGAAGUACCGGCUAACUACGUGCCAGCAGCCGCGGUAAUACGUAGGGUACGAGCGUUGUCCGGAAUUAUUGGGCGUAAAGAGCUCGUAGGUGGUUGGUCACGUCUGCUGUGGAAACGCAACGCUUAACGUUGCGCGUGCAGUGGGUACGGGCUGACUAGAGUGCAGUAGGGGAGUCUGGAAUUCCUGGUGUAGCGGUGAAAUGCGCAGAUAUCAGGAGGAACACCGGUGGCGAAGGCGGGACUCUGGGCUGUAACUGACACUGAGGAGCGAAAGCAUGGGGAGCGAACAGGAUUAGAUACCCUGGUAGUCCAUGCCGUAAACGUUGGGCACUAGGUGUGGGGGGCAUUCCACGUUCUCCGCGCCGUAGCUAACGCAUUAAGUGCCCCGCCUGGGGAGUACGGUCGCAAGGCUAAAACUCAAAGGAAUUGACGGGGGCCCGCACAAGCGGCGGAGCAUGCGGAUUAAUUCGAUGCAACGCGAAGAACCUUACCAAGGCUUGACAUACACCGGACCGUCCUGGAAACAGGUCCUCUUC